CAAAGGAGUGAUCCGGUGGCGGAUGGGCAUGCGGCGCAUUAGCUAGACGGCGGGGUGACGGCCCACCGUGGCGACGAUGCGUAGGGGUUCUGAGAGGAAGGCCCCCCACACUGGGACUGAGACACGGCCCAGACUCCUACGGGAGGCAGCAGUGAGGAAUAUUGGUCAAUGGGCGGAAGCCUGAACCAGCCAAGUCGCGUGAGGGAUUAAGGCCCUGCGGGUCGUAAACCUCUUUUGCCGGGGAGCAGUGGUCCGGACGCGUCCGGGCCGGGAGAGUACCCGGAGAAAAAGCAUCGGCUAACUCCGUGCCAGCAGCCGCGGUAAUACGGAGGAUGCGAGCGUUAUCCGGAUUUAUUGGGUUUAAAGGGUGCGUAGGCGGGCAUUUAAGCCGGCGGUCAAAUGUCGGGGCUCAACCCCGGCCUGCCGUCGGAACUGGGUGCCUUGAGUGGGCGAGAAGUAUGCGGAAUGCGUGGUGUAGCGGUGAAAUGCAUAGAUAUCACGCAGAACCCCGAUUGCGAAGGCAGCAUACCGGCGCCCUACUGACGCUGAGGCACGAAAGUGCGGGUAUCGAACAGGAUUAGAUACCCUGGUAGUCCGCACAGUAAACGAUGGAUGCUAUCUGUCCGGGCCGAAUGAGGCCUG
This 642-nucleotide ribosomal RNA is filed under the name uncultured bacterium. Its description in RNAcentral is "bacterial SSU rRNA". It matches the Rfam family "Bacterial small subunit ribosomal RNA", at positions 202 to 841 of the family's 1533-position model. The record is from RNAcentral.